AUGACUCUGGUGACCCUGCAAGCCAACCCCUUGGUAAACAAAGCAGGACAAACAGCUGGCGUACAAAAAACACUUGCUCAGGGUGACCCCCUGGCCCCAGAUUGUCUGCCUCGGGUUGUGCCUUCACCUCGAUGCGCGGCAACGUAAAAACCCACGAGAAACGUCUUUCCUUAGAACAGCGGGAGAAUAUGAUGGGGCAGGAAAUCUUAGGCCAUGGCUUGGAGGAUAUUGUUGGGCUCAAGCCCAAAGGCGCCCUGACCCAAGUGAAUUUGUUAUCUUGUUUGCUUUACCCUUGAACCUAAAGCUGCACAAACAGAAGGCUUACAAAAUGAGGGGUUCUUGAACUUCGUGUGUGCAUAUUUAUUAAUAGACGAGUGAAAAACCAGCAUUACUCUCAUUCCUGGGAAACUUUCACUCCACCUGCACUUGUGUAACCGGGUCCAAUCAAGCCUGAGUUACAUGAGAACGUGGAUUCUAACUUUAACAAAUACAUAAAGUCAUGACCCUUUUGUUUUGAUAUGCUGCCUGUUCCAGACAGGCAGAAAAGCCACCACUAAAACCAAGAGGUAUACAAGACUUCACAAUUUAUUAAGAAGAUUAGCCGGCUUUAGUUUGUCCACUAAUGAUUAGUCACUGGCUGUGCAUUCUCUUGGAAGCCUCGGAGGUCAGCAGGAGCCAGCCUCCCAGCAGCUGUCAUCCUUGGUGUGACGACAGGCUUCCCCAGAAGAGAGCAGUGGCUGAGUCCCAGGAACCAGCAAGAGCAGACAGGCUUGGCUCGUAGGACAGACUACGUGGCUCCUCAUAGGCAGAGUGGGAAGCAGAGAGGCCAAGCCACAGAGAGGAGCAGCCUCAACAGACACUGGGCACACAAGAAACCAAAGGCUCAGCCUCCCACAGCCUCCUCACACAGGGCAGUCCACGUGGGGAGCAGAGCCACCAAGAACAUCUUCACAGACAAGAUGUGGUGUGGGAACCUUGACCCACCCACACUAGGAAGCUCAGCUUGGCAAAGGAAUUCCCUUUGCUAAGUGAACACCAGGCCAAUCAUACAAAGUCAAGCGACACCAACACAGCUUCUUCCAAUGAAAAAGUUCAAUUUGAAAAUGUUCAUAUUACUCCCAGGCAUUUUACUAAAUGCUUGACCAUGUUAUUCCCAAUUCGCACAGUAAUUCUGCACAAGGAGGUGUCAUUAUCCUCAUCUUAUAGGUAAGGAGAUGGAGGAUCAGAGAAAUUAGGAAACUCACCCAAAGGAUACAACUGGGGGAGGGGCCAGCGCUGUGCACAGCGCAUAAAGCUGCUGCCUGCAGUGCCAGCAUCCCAAAUGGGCACCAGUUCAGGUCCUGGCUGCUCUACUUCUGAUGCAACUCUCUAAAAAUGGCCUGAGAAAGCAGAAGAUGGCCCAAGUCCUUGAGCCCCUGCACCCACAUGGGAGACCCAGAGGAAGCUGCUGGCUCCUGGGUUCGGAUUGGCCCAGCUCCAGCUGUUACAGCCAUUUGGGGAGUGAACCAGCAGAUAAAAGAUCUCUCUCUGCCUCUGCCUCUCUGUAACUCUGCCUUCAAAUAAAUAAAUAAAUCUUUAAAAAAUAAAUAAAGAG
This is a long non-coding RNA of Oryctolagus cuniculus (rabbit), 1594 nucleotides long. The record is from Ensembl. Lineage: Eukaryota; Metazoa; Chordata; Mammalia; Lagomorpha; Leporidae.